GGCGAAGUUGCAGCUCAGGGGUGGUUUGCGUCGGGUCUGUAAAACCGUCGGCUCAGCCUACGCAGGUUCAAGUCCUGCACCUGCCACCA
RNAcentral lists this transfer RNA (89 nucleotides) under Streptosporangium saharense. Its description in RNAcentral is "tRNA-Tyr". Lineage: Bacteria; Bacillati; Actinomycetota; Actinomycetes; Streptosporangiales; Streptosporangiaceae. The record is from RNAcentral.